Molecule: long non-coding RNA, 642 nt
Organism: Cavia porcellus (domestic guinea pig)
Lineage: Eukaryota; Metazoa; Chordata; Mammalia; Rodentia; Caviidae
Exons: 3
Source: RefSeq, a predicted model, not a curated record
GGUUGGUGCUGUUGGUUCUCCUGUUGUAAUGAGUUCUCUUGGAGAAGCUUGUUGAGCUUCCUUCCUGAGAUGAACUUGGCUGUUGUCAUCAUCAGAGGAGCUUGAGACCUUGUUGAGAGUGGCUGCAGUUCACUUUGGGGGAGCUCUGGUCCUUACCUUGAGCAUUGCCUCCUGGCUCUGGAAGGGAAGAUGGUGAGCUGCUCAGUCUCCAGGAGAAGUUUGUUAUUCUGGCUUUCUGAUGUGAACUCAGCUGUUCUCAUCACUGGAGGACUUCAGGACUUCAUUGUUGCCAAGGAUGGCUGUGGUACUUUUGGGGAGAGGUCUGGUUCGGAUCAUUAAUCCUCAUCAAUAUUAUCUGGAAGGCUUGGACAACUAGCAGAGCUGUUACUGCAAAGAAAACCACACAGUCAAAUAAACUGCACUGGAGCUGCUUUCAUGUUUGCCAAGGUGUCCUUCUAGGAACACAGGGUCCCAAACUGCCCAAACUGGACUUGAACUUUCAAUCCUCCUGCUUCAGCGUCCUAGAGUGCUGGGAUAACUACACCUACACCCAGCUAAUACACAUCAUUCUUACUCUAAAUUAUAUCUCCUGUAAUAAUAUUGACUGUACACAUUUCAAUUGCUGCAUUAAAGCCAUCCGAA